GUGAGGAAUAUUGGACAAUGGGCGCAAGCCUGAUCCAGCCAUGCCGCGUGCAGGAAGACGCAUCUAUGGUGUGUAAACUGCUUUUGUACGGGAAGAAACACUCCCUCGUGAGGGAGCUUGACGGUACCGUAAGAAUAAGGAUCGGCUAACUCCGUGCCAGCAGCCGCGGUAAUACGGAGGAUCCAAGCGUUAUCCGGAAUCAUUGGGUUUAAAGGGUCCGUAGGCGGUUUAAUAAGUCAGUGGUGAAAGCCCAUCGCUCAACGAUGGAACGGCCAUUGAUACUGUUAGACUUGAAUUAUAAGGAAGUAACUAGAAUAUGUAGUGUAGCGGUGAAAUGCUUAGAUAUUACAUGGAAUACCAAUUGCGAAGGCAGGUUACUACUUGUGGAUUGACGCUGAUGGACGAAAGCGUGGGGAGCGAACAGGAUUAGAAACCCUAGUAGUCC
RNAcentral lists this ribosomal RNA (445 nucleotides) under uncultured bacterium. RNAcentral's name for it is "partial 16S ribosomal RNA". It matches the Rfam family "Bacterial small subunit ribosomal RNA", at positions 354 to 796 of the family's 1533-position model. The record is from RNAcentral.